GACAACAACUGUACCAACAACAACGACCAUACCGACAACUACAGAAUCAACGACUCCCGAGGGAACGACAUCUACAACUACGGCUACCACUAGCACAACCACGUCUACGACCACUCAUAGCACAACGACAGAGUGUGACAUCCAAAUGAUUUCACAAGAUGACACGACUGAUGUUGUUUCCAGCACUACUGAUGGAAACGGGAAUGGAUUGACUGAGGCAUUCGUUCCAAACUCUGGCGUUUCAAAGCCGACAAUAAGCUAUACGAUUAAGGCUAUUAAUGAUGAUGUCAAAUUCUUCCGAUUUUCUGCCAAAGUAUGGAAUGUCCAAACUAUCCAAGUGUUUGUCCUUGACAGCAGCAACAAUCCUGUUGCGCCUAUCAAUCCCCGAGAGGU
This is a long non-coding RNA of Pecten maximus, 393 nucleotides long. RefSeq lists it as uncharacterized. The record is from RefSeq and is a predicted model, not a curated record. NCBI's taxonomy places the organism in Eukaryota, Metazoa, Mollusca, Bivalvia, Pectinida, Pectinidae. The transcript has 2 exons.